This 460-nucleotide ribosomal RNA is filed under the name NC10 bacterium enrichment culture clone MSGLR 2-3. RNAcentral describes it as "bacterial SSU rRNA". It matches the Rfam family "Bacterial small subunit ribosomal RNA", at positions 977 to 1434 of the family's 1533-position model. Lineage: Bacteria; Methylomirabilota (SeqCode). The record is from RNAcentral.
GGGCUUGACAUCCCACGAACCUGCCUGAAAGGGCGGGGUGCCCGCAAGGGAGCGUGGAGACAGGUGGUGCAUGGCUGUCGUCAGCUCGUGUCGUGAGAUGUUGGGUUAAGUCCCGCAACGAGCGCAACCCUCACCCCUAGUUGCCACCGGGUUAAGCCGAGCACUCAAGGGGAACUGCCAGCGUCAAGCUGGAGGAAGGCGGGGAUGACGUCAAGUCAUCAUGCCCCUUACGCCCUGGGCUACACUCGUGAAACAAUGGCCAGUACAAAGGGACGCGAGACUGCGAAGUGGAGCUAAUCCCAAAAAGCUGGUCUAAGUUCAGAUUGCAGUCUGCAACUCGACUGCAUGAAGGAGGAAUCGCUAGUAAUUGCGCAUCAGCCCGGCGCGGUGAAUACGUUCCCGGGCCUUGUACACACCGCCCGUCACACCACGAAAGCUGUCUGUACUCGAAGUCGCUGAG